RNA transcript from Medicago truncatula (barrel medic), 911 nucleotides. RefSeq lists it as uncharacterized. Lineage: Eukaryota; Viridiplantae; Streptophyta; Magnoliopsida; Fabales; Fabaceae. The record is from RefSeq and is a predicted model, not a curated record. The transcript is spliced from 6 exons.
CAAUAGCUAGGUUGUAAUUGUGUAUGAGGCUCAGCUUUAUAAACUAGAACAAGUGUUCAACUCUACAACUAUCCUCUAUCAAUUUUCAACAUCAGUUCUAUUUCAAACAACAUAUUAAAUGUAUCCAAGAGUGAAAGUGAGGAUUACAGAGCAAGAAGACUAUCUUUAUCCUGAAAAUGAUAGUGGAAUUUUGGCUUUUUUGAAGCUCAUUGAGUCUUUACACUUUGAAGCAUCGGCUUCAAACAUGAAAUUGUUAAUCUUUGAAUGCAGAAGAGGAGAAUCAAAGUAAAAGUCAACAAUCGAAUUCCAAAAACAAUGAUCUCUAUUUUUUGGAGGAGAAUGAGAGUAAAAGUCAACAAUCAAAUUCCAAAAACACAAAGGUCUGUCCUCAACAUAUAAUAACAAGAAGAUUCACUCCUUCAACCAAAGGAAUAUUGAAAAAUAGCAAUCGAGCCGGCGAGAUUGUUCCAAAAGAAAAUGCAAGAGCUAGUUCUGUUAUACGCCCACGUGCAGUCCUAUCUAGUCCCGAUAAUGAUGAAUUAAUUGGAAGUAUACAUGACCUGAACAACAAUGUAUCCUUAACUAAGAGAAAUAAAGAUGCAAGAGGGACCAUGAGAGGUCAUGCCAAGGUUUUGGCUAAUCAAAGGCAAAGCUCCUCCAAAAGCAAAGUGCAAUUUUGAAACUUAAUGAUCUUAAAAGAAGGGGCAUCAAAUUCAGUUGGAAUAUGAUUCCUAUACUACUAUGUUGUGCAAUUUUGUAAGAGUGAAGUUUUGGCAUAUCAUACAUGCCUUUUUGUGUGCAUGGACAGUUUGUUUUCUACUGAAGACACUAGUUGUUUAUCUUACUAAUGUAUUCUGAGAUAUUCAUGUAACAUUCUUAAUUCAACAUAUAUUAUUUUCAUUUUGAGGCCA